RNAcentral lists this ribosomal RNA (1235 nucleotides) under metagenome. RNAcentral describes it as "bacterial LSU rRNA". It matches the Rfam family "Bacterial large subunit ribosomal RNA", at positions 1564 to 2808 of the family's 2925-position model. The record is from RNAcentral.
UGUAUACGAGACGCUACGGCGUCGAAGCAGUCUAUGUCAUACUUCCAAGAAAAGCUUGCACUGUCAUAAACAAAUAAUGCCUGUACCAUAACCGACACAGGUGGGUAGGUAGAGUAUACUAAGGGGCGCGAGAUAACUCUCUCUAAGGAACUCGGCAAAAUGACUCCGUAACUUCGGGAGAAGGAGUGCCUUAUUUAUAAGGUUGCAAUAACAAGAUCCAAGCAACUGUUUAUCAAAAACACAGGUCUCCGCUAAGUCGUAAGACGAUGUAUGGGGGCUGACGCCUGCCCAGUGCCAGAAGGUUAAAGAAGUUGGUUAGCAUUAGCGAAGCUGAUAACUGAAGCCCUGGUGAACGGCGGCCGUAACAAUAACGGUCCUAAGGUAGCGAAAUUCCUUGUCGGGUAAGUUCCGACCCGCACGAAAGGCGUAAUGAUUUGGAUACUGUCUCGGAGAGGGGCUCGGUGAAAUAGACUUGUCUGUGAAGAUGCGGACUACCUGCACCUGGACAGAAAGACCCUAUGAAGCUUUACUGUAACCUGAAAUUGAAAUUGGACUUUAUUUGCGCAGUAUAGGUGGGAGGCGUUGAGAAUAUUCUUGCGGGAAUAUUGGAGCCAUCAGUGAGAUACCACUCUUGUAAUGUUAGAUUUCUAACUUUGAAUCAUUAUCUGGUCAAAGAACAGUUUCAGGCGGGCAGUUUGACUGGGGCGGUCGCCUCCUAAAUGGUAACGGAGGCGCACAAAGGUUUCCUCUGAACGGGUAGAAAUCGUAUCUAGAGUGUAAAGGCAUAAGGAAGCUUGACUGUGAGACCUACAAGUCGAGCAGGGACGAAAGUCGGUCUUAGUGAUCUGACGGUGCUGAGUGGAAAGGCCGUCACUCAACGGAUAAAAGUUACUCUAAGGAUAACAGGCUGAUCUCCCCCAAGAGUUCACAUCGACGGGGAGGUUUGGCACCUCGAUGUCGGCUCAUCGCAUCCUGGGGCGGUAGUACGUCCCAAGGGUUGGGCUGUUCGCCCAUGAAAGCGGUACGCGAGCUGGGUUCAGAACGUCGUGAGACAGUUCGGUCCAUAUCCGGUGUAGGCGUUAGAAUAUUGAGAGGAGCCUUCUUUAGUACGAGAGGACCGAGAAGGACAUACCUCUGGUGUACCAGUUAUCGUGCCAACGGUAAACGCUGGGUAGCUAUGUAUGGAGAGGAUAACCGCUGAAAGCAUCUAAGUGGGAAGCCCACCUCAAGAUAAG